UACGAAGGGGGCUAGCGUUGCUCGGAAUUACUGGGCGUAAAGCGCACGUAGGCGGACUGUUAAGUCGGUGGUGAAAUCCUGGAGCUCAACUCCAGAACUGCCUUCGAUACUGAGAGUCUCGAGUCCGGGAGAGGUGAGUGGAACUGCGAGUGUAGAGGUGAAAUUCGUAGAUAUUCGCAAGAACACCAGUGGCGAAGGCGGCUCACUGGCCCGGUACUGACGCUGAGGUGCGAAAGCGUGGGGAGCAAACAGG
RNAcentral lists this ribosomal RNA (253 nucleotides) under uncultured bacterium. RNAcentral's name for it is "partial 16S ribosomal RNA". It matches the Rfam family "Bacterial small subunit ribosomal RNA", at positions 524 to 776 of the family's 1533-position model. The record is from RNAcentral.